RNAcentral lists this long non-coding RNA (1129 nucleotides) under Chrysolophus pictus (golden pheasant). RNAcentral describes it as "lncRNA (ENSCPIG00010011297.1)". The record is from RNAcentral. Lineage: Eukaryota; Metazoa; Chordata; Aves; Galliformes; Phasianidae.
UGGAUGCUCGGUGUCGUGGUACGGUGGGGCGUGCACAGACAUGGGGUGUUUGGUGUCAUGGCGUGGUGGGGGGCACAGACAUGGGGUCCAUGGGGUGUUUGGUGUCAUGGCGUGGUGGGGGGCACAGACAUGGGGUCCAUGGGGUGUUUGGUGUCAUGGUGUGGUGGGGACAGCGGGGACGUGGGUCUGUGAGAUGCUGUGCCAUGGUGUGCUGGGGACCACGGGGAUAUGGGGUCUGUGGGGUGCUCAGAUUAACGGUGUCAUAGGGGCACGGUGAGGGCAUGGGGUCUGUGGGGUGCUCGGUGUCACAGUACCAUAGGGACGCAGUGGGGACACGAGGUCUUUGGGGUGCUCGGUGUGAUGGUAUGGUGGGGACCACAGGGAUGUGGGGGUCCAUGGGGUUUUUGGUGUCACAGUAUGGCGGGGACACAGGACACGGUGGGGACGUGGGGUCCAUGGGAUGUGUCGCAGUACGGUGAGGCCGUUGGCUGGAUGUGUCCCUUUGCUGUCCCGCAGGAAUCGAGGUGAGCACGCUGUUCUGGCCCGCCGUGCCGCUGGGCUCCGAGCACCCCGUGCUCUUCCAGCUGCGUUUCUGGGACUGCGGGGAGAGUGCCCUGCGGAAGUUCGAGCACCUCCUGCCCGCCUGCAGGGAGGAGGCGGACGCCGUCCUUUUGCUCUUCUCCUUCACCGACCGCGCGUCCUUCGAGGAGCUGCCGGCGCGGCUGGCGCGUGUGCUGCAGCCCGGCGAGGACACGCUGCGCGUGGUGGUGGGCACCAGAUUCGACCUGUGUCCCCACACUGCUGUGACGGAGUCGGACGUGGCUGCCUUCGAGGACAGCUGGGGGCUGCGGGUGCUGCGGGCGGGGGGUGCGGGGGUGGGCCGGGGGGGUCUGGCACGGGUGGCCCCACUGCUGGAUGCCCUGGUGGGGCAGCUGUGGCAACGCGACCAGAUGGCAGCUGGUGUCAUCCCAGAGGGUCAGGGGGCCCCCGAGGACUGAACCCCAUUUUGGUGGGGGGUUCCAUGUUUUGGGGGCGUGGAAGCCCCUCACCGUGGCGUCUGGGUUCCCCCUGCCAUUAAACAGUGUUGGUUUUCCAAACCCUGGAUUGGAGACUUUUUUUUGGGGGGGGA